ACCGCGAACUUCUAAACCUUUGACGAUUGACUCAUGUUGCCUCGGCGGGUGCUCCCGCCAGAGGAUACAUCAAAACUCCUGUUUUAACGGUGUUGUCUGAGCUACAAGCAACGAAUCAAAACUUUCAACAACGGAUCUCUUGGUUCUGGCAUCGAUGAAGAACGCAGCGAAAUGCGAUAAGUAGUGUGAAUUGCAGAAUUCAGUGAAUCAUCGAAUCUUUGAACGCACAUUGCGCCCCUUGGUAUCCCGAGGGGCAUGCCUGUUCGAGCGUCAUUUCACCACUCAAGCCUGGCUUGGUGUUGGGCGACGUCCCCUUUGGGGACGCGCCUCGAAACGCUCGGCGGCGUGGCACCGGCUUUAAGCGUAGCAGAAUCUUUCGCUUUGAAAGUCGGGGCCCCGUCUGCCGGAAGACCUACUCGCAAGGUUGACCUCGGAUCAGGCAGGGAUACCCGCUGAACUUAAGCAUAUCAAUAA
Molecule: ribosomal RNA, 474 nt
Filed under: uncultured Cenococcum
Lineage: Eukaryota; Fungi; Ascomycota; Dothideomycetes; Gloniales; Gloniaceae
Description: eukaryotic LSU rRNA
Rfam family: 5.8S ribosomal RNA (bases 120-273)
Source: RNAcentral